Molecule: ribosomal RNA, 789 nt
Filed under: uncultured Planctomycetota bacterium
Lineage: Bacteria; Pseudomonadati; Planctomycetota
Description: bacterial SSU rRNA
Rfam family: Bacterial small subunit ribosomal RNA
Source: RNAcentral
UGCAAGUCGAGCGGAAAGGCCCCGCAAGGGGUACUCGAGCGGCGUAAGGGAGAGUAACGCGUGGUUUAUCUACCCUCAGGCCCGGGAUAGCUGCGGGAAACCGCAAUUAAUACCGGAUAACAUCUCCGGAUCAAAGGUGUGAUUCCGCCUGUGGAUGAGACCGCGUCCUAUUAGCUAGUUGGUAGGGUAAUGGCCUACCAAGGCGAUGAUGGGUACUGGGUGUGAGAGCAUGACCCAGCUCACUGGGACUGAGACACUGCCCAGACACCUACGGGUGGCUGCAGUCGAGGAUCUUCGGCAAUGGGCGCAAGCCUGACCGAGCGACGCCGCGUGUGGGAUGAAGGCCUUCGGGUUGUAAACCACUGUCAGAGGGGAUGAAAUGCAUGGGGGUUCUCCCCCAUGUUUGACAUAUCCUCAGAGGAAGGACGGGCUAAGUUCGUGCCAGCAGCCGCGGUAAGACGAACCGUCCAAACGUUAUUCGGAAUUACUGGGCUUAAAGGGUGCGUAGGCGGCGCGGUAAGUUGGGUGUGAAAUCCCUCGGCUCAACCGAGGAAUUGCGCUUGAUACUGCCGUGCUCGAGGGAGACAGAGGUGAGCGGAACUUAGGGUGGAGCGGUGAAAUGCGUUGAUAUCCUAAGGAACACCAGUGGCGAAAGCGGCUCACUGGGUCUCUUCUGACGCUGAGGCACGAAAGCUAGGGGAGCGAACGGGAUUAGAUACCCCGGUAGUCCUAGCUGUAAACGAUGAGCACUGGGGUUGGAGGGUCCUCCAUAGCCUUCCAGCCGCAGCG